RNAcentral lists this ribosomal RNA (747 nucleotides) under Leucothoe akuma. Its description in RNAcentral is "partial 18S ribosomal RNA". It matches the Rfam family "Eukaryotic small subunit ribosomal RNA", at positions 1330 to 1787 of the family's 1831-position model. The record is from RNAcentral. Lineage: Eukaryota; Metazoa; Arthropoda; Malacostraca; Amphipoda; Leucothoidae.
UACGAACGAGACUCUAUCCUACUAAGCGGCAAAGGCUAUUAGACGACUGGAUCUUUGAAACACGUGCGUAAAAACUGACGGAGAUGUUUUGCACCUGCUGCUGUCUUGCUUUCUCGCGCGUGAGUGUGCGCAUGCUUCUUCUCGAGCUCAGCAUCCGUCGUGGCUGCGCGUUGAGUUCGGGAUACGCGUGUGUGCUUUGCCUAUGACACGAUGAAGGAUUAACGCGGCUUCUUCGGAUUUCGCGCGCGACUCGGUCUUGGCUUCGCGCGUCGCGCUCUUGCGCGUAGACAAACGUUGUUUCUUCUUAGAGGUAUUGGCGACUCUACAUAAGUCGUACGAGAGAGAGAGCAAUAACAGGUCUGUGAUGCCCUUAGAUGCCCUGGGCCGCACGCGAGCUACAAUGCCGGGUACAGCGGGUAUAACUUCCUUCUCCGAGAGGAGCGGGUAACCCUCUGAAAGCCCUUCCGAUACGUAUAUACUCUCACGUUAUACGCAUCUCGGCUCGCUUGGGCCUGGGGCUUGCAACUAUCUCCCACAAACGAGGAAUGCCUUGUAUUGACAGGUCACUGAGCUUGUAGCGACUCAGUCCCUGCCCUUUGUACACACCGCCCGUCGCUACUACCGAUUGAGUGUAUCAGUGAGAUUCUUGGACUGGCGAACCAUUUCCCUAUCUGCCUUCGUGGCAGUCCUGGGGAGACGGCGAACGACGGGAAGAGACUCGAACUGAUGCACUUAGAGGAAGUAAAA